GGAUCUUGAGACAGAACCUUUGGACUUGGAGCGGAACACACGCUUGAGGCUAGCGGCGAGCUUCAUGUCGGAGAAGAAGAUAAAAGGAGGAUAUGUUGUUGUUGAGUAUCUUGUUGGUGUGAGAGGAAAGAGCGAGGAAGGAAGGUAUUAAAUGGGGAGAGAAAGAGAGAAGCCAUGGCAGCUUCCACGAAGCUUCGUGGAGAGAGUUGUUCGAUGAUUUUGAUACUUAAAUACCCUAAAACACUAUCAUAUCAUAUUCAUUCAUUCAUUCCUCUAUUUUCUUCCUUUUUAAUUUAAAGUUUCCUUAUUUCUAGAUUUUCAUUUAUUAUUACGAUGACUAACCAAUUCAAGUUUUAUUUAUUCUUGUAUAAGACCAUCUCCGAUGGUUCAAUCUAUUUUAGAGUAGAAAAUAGAGUGAUGAAUAAAAAAAAAACAAAUUACUCUAUAUUUGGAAUAAACCUAUUUUUUACUCUAUUAUAGAGUGAAAAAUAGAAUAAUAUUGGAGUAUUCUUUACUCUAAACUCUAUUUUAGAGUAAAAACUAUAAUGGAGUUGGAGAUGCUGUAACGUACACAUGCAACGUAUCUACUGGGAGAAAAACACAAACGUAUCUAUCUAUCUACUGUUUUUAAUCUAAUACUAGGGGUUAAAGAGUAAGUUAAGAAACAACCGUUGAAUGGGGGUUCUCUCUCCUCUCCUAGAGAGAGAGUUUUCUCUCGACAAUUUUUCUUCUCUUAUCAAAUUUCUAUCUUUCAGAGAGGUAAAGAUCGUUUGAGAGUGAGAGAGAUCUACUUUUUGGUUCCGGUUUCGGUUUCAUCCGACCGGACUCUGUCUCCGGCGUUCUCGCCUUUUCCUCCGGCGAAGAUCGGCCGGCUUUUGUCUCCGCGUCGCAUAUACCUUCACACGUUUAGCUUUUGGAAUUCAUAAUAUGUUUUCAAAAAAACUUAAAUACCUAUUUACUCAUUAGUCAAAGAUGUUUAUAAACAAUUAUUUCAAUUUCAAUUAUUUAAACAAAUAUGUUCACAUAAUUUUAGCUGCUAAUUCUGUUUAAUAGCUCGAACUUUUACAAACAUAAAAUAUUAUACAUAAAUAUAUAGGUAUUUUUAUAAUAUUCAAAAAGUAUAUUUCCUUAAUUUUAAUUUCAUUAUUUAAUAUAAUAUACUUUUUGUAAAUUAUAUUUAUAAUAAAUAUUAAUAUUAUUGUAUUCAUUAUUUUAAAAAAUUAUACAUACUGCAAUUUACACAUCAAAAAUGUUACCAGUCAAUAAUUUUAAUAAUAUAAUAAUUCAUAUUUUUACAGCGAACUCACUACAUAAAUCUACAGUAUCUACCACAUAGUUUCUACUCCGAGUUACAUCAGAUCGUAACUUUUAUUGUAACUCAACUCUAAUAUAACAUGUCACCAAUCCGAGCCAGAGUCCUUAUCUUGUUAUUCCAGUUUUUAUAUCAUCCUUAUAAAAAUAAAAUGAACGAAUUUUGGUGAUGAUUAAGUUUGGUUCUAUCGAAAAAAAUUAUUUCUCUUAAAGUUUGCCAACUUUAAGAACCUUCUGUUCAUCUUUAUACAGUUAUAUGAGGAUUUUUUUGGGUGUACAUAAUGACGAUUUUAGGAGGACUGGGACUAAGGAACAAGAACUCUACAAAUCAUCCUUAUGAUCUGAAUCAAAUUAUUAUUUUUGGUCUAACUGAAUUAAAUUAUUGAACUAGCUAGACGAAUGAAAUCAGUGAAAAAAUAUUGAAUGAGGCUAGCGGCGAGCUUCAUGUCGGAGAAGAAGAUAAAAGGAGGAUAUGUUGUUGUUGAGUAUCUUGUUGGUGUGAGAGGAAAGAGCGAGGAAGGAAGGUAUUAAAUGGGGAGAGAAAGAGAGAAGCCAUGGCAGCUUCCACGAAGCUUCGUGGAGAGAGUUGUUCGAUGAUUUUGAUACUUAAAUACCCUAAAACACUAUCAUAUCAUAUUCAUUCAUUCAUUCCUCUAUUUUCUUCCUUUUUAAUUUAAAGUUUCCUUAUUUCUAGAUUUUCAUUUAUUAUUACGAUGA
RNAcentral lists this long non-coding RNA (2028 nucleotides) under Brassica napus (rape). RNAcentral describes it as "long non-coding RNA (BNAP_LNC014800)". The record is from RNAcentral. Lineage: Eukaryota; Viridiplantae; Streptophyta; Magnoliopsida; Brassicales; Brassicaceae.